CCUACGGGCGGCUGCAGUGGGGAAUAUUGGGCAAUGGGCGCAAGCCUGACCCAGCAACGCCGCGUGAAGGGAGAAGGCUUUCGGGUUGUAAACUUCUUUUGUCCGGGAAGAGUAGAAGACGGUACCUGACGAAUAAGCCACGGCUAACUACGUGCCAGCAGCCGCGGUAAGACGUAGGUGGCAAGCGUUGUCCGGAUUUACUGGGGGUAAAGGGCGUGUAGCCGGGUUGACAAGUCAGAUGUGAAAUCCUGCGGCUUAACCGCAGAACGGCAGUUGAAACUGUUGAUCUUGAGUACUGGAGAGGCAGAUGGAAUUCCUAGUGUAGCGGUGAAAUGCGUAGAUAUUAGGAGGAACACCAGUGGCGAAGGCGGUCUGCUGGACAGCAACUGACGGUGAGGCGCGAAAGCGUGGGGAGCAAACAGGAUUAGAUACCCGGGUAGUC
RNAcentral lists this ribosomal RNA (442 nucleotides) under uncultured bacterium. RNAcentral's name for it is "partial 16S ribosomal RNA". It matches the Rfam family "Bacterial small subunit ribosomal RNA", at positions 338 to 795 of the family's 1533-position model. The record is from RNAcentral.